GACGAACGCUGGCGGCGUGCUUAACACAUGCAAGUCGAACGGAAAGGCCCUGCUUUUGUGGGGUGCUCGAGUGGCGAACGGGUGAGUAACACGUGAGUAACCUGCCCUUGACUUUGGGAUAACUUCAGGAAACUGGGGCUAAUACCGGAUAGGAGCUCCUGCUGCAUGGUGGGGGUUGGAAAGUUUCGGCGGUUGGGGAUGGACUCGCGGGUUAUCAGCUUGUUGGUGGGGUAGUGGCUUACCAAGGCUUUGACGGGUAGCCGGCCUGGGAGGGUGACCGGCCACCUUGGGACUGAGAUACGGCCCAGACUCCUACGGGAGGCAGCAGUGGGGAAUAUUGCACAAUGGGCGGAAGCCUGAUGCAGCAACGCCGCGUGCGGGAUGACGGCCUUCGGGUUGUAAACCGCUUUCGCCUGUGACGAAGCGUGAGUGACGGUAAUGGGUAAAGAAGCACCGGCUAACUACGUG
Molecule: ribosomal RNA, 468 nt
Filed under: uncultured bacterium
Lineage: Bacteria
Description: partial 16S ribosomal RNA
Rfam family: Bacterial small subunit ribosomal RNA
Source: RNAcentral